RNAcentral lists this ribosomal RNA (253 nucleotides) under uncultured bacterium. RNAcentral describes it as "partial 16S ribosomal RNA". It matches the Rfam family "Bacterial small subunit ribosomal RNA", at positions 524 to 776 of the family's 1533-position model. The record is from RNAcentral.
UACGUAGGUGGCGAGCGUUGUCCGGAUUUACUGGGCGUAAAGCGUGCGUAGGUGGUUCGUUAAGUCCGAUGUGAAAGCCCUGGGCUCAACCUGGGAAUUGCAUUGGAUACUGGCGGGCUAGAGUGCGGUAGAGGAUGGCGGAAUUCCCGGUGUAGCAGUGACAUGCGUAGAGAUUGGGAGGAACAUCCGUGGCGAAGGCGGCCAUCUGGACCAGCACUGACACUGAGGCACGAAAGCGUGGGGAGCAAACAGG